This 240-nucleotide unclassified non-coding RNA is filed under the name soil metagenome. Its description in RNAcentral is "partial contains 5.8S ribosomal RNA, internal transcribed spacer 2, and large subunit ribosomal RNA". The record is from RNAcentral.
AACAAGGCGUACCUGCGGACCUGCGGAAGGAUCAUUACAGAGUUCGUGCCCUCGCGGGUAGAUCUCCCACCCUUGUGUAUUUUCUACAUCUUGUUGCUUUGGCAGGCCGUUGGUUCGCCAACCACCGGCUCGCGGGCUGGUGCGUGCCUGCCAGAGGACCUCUCAAACUCGGUUUGUUAGUGUCGUCUGAGUACCAUAACAAUCGUUAAAACUUUUAACAACGGAUCUCAGAUCGGAAGA